GACGAACGCUGGCGGCGUGCCUAAUACAUGCAAGUCGAGCGAAUUUUUGGGAGCUUGCUCCCAAAAAUUAGCGGCGGACGGGUGAGUAACACGUGGGCAACCUGCCUGUAAGACUGGGAUAACUUCGGGAAACCGGAGCUAAUACCGGAUAAUUCUUUUCCUCACAUGAGGAAAAGCUGAAAGACGGUUUCGGCUGUCACUUACAGAUGGACCCGCGGCGCAUUAGCUAGUUGGUGAGGUAACGGCUCACCAAGGCAACGAUGCGUAGCCGACCUGAGAGGGUGAUCGGCCACAUUGGGACUGAGACACGGCCCAAACUCCUACGGGUGGCUG
RNAcentral lists this ribosomal RNA (333 nucleotides) under uncultured Bacillota bacterium. RNAcentral describes it as "bacterial SSU rRNA". It matches the Rfam family "Bacterial small subunit ribosomal RNA", at positions 28 to 351 of the family's 1533-position model. Lineage: Bacteria; Bacillati; Bacillota. The record is from RNAcentral.